Molecule: RNA transcript, 1254 nt
Organism: Phalaenopsis equestris
Lineage: Eukaryota; Viridiplantae; Streptophyta; Magnoliopsida; Asparagales; Orchidaceae
Exons: 4
Source: RefSeq, a predicted model, not a curated record
UUGUGGGGCAAGAGCUCCCUUGAUGCAUUAAAAGAUGUCGGCAUUGGAAGACCAGCUUUGACUUCAGCUAAACUUUGAAUUCCAUCACUUAAUUUCAUAUAAACCCCCUCUUCUUCCCCCUAACCCUCCCUCUCCCUCUGGUUUUAGCUACAGAAAUUAGCUUAAAAAAGAGCUGAUAAAAAAGGUUACUUAACUCAUGGUGAGCGCCAAGUUCACAAGCUUCCUCCUCCUCUGGAUGCUGUUGUCUUCUUUAGCUCUGAGAGACUCCAUAGGUUCAGCUCAAGACUUCAUUAAUGUUGACACUGAAGCCUUUCAUUGGGAUAAGACUUUUUAUGUUGAGGCUGAGUACAGAGGAGGAGAGAGGAGCAGAGGAAGGAGGAUGGGGGCGAUGUGGAAAGGGGAAGAAGAGGAGAAGAGCAGAAGAAUCAGGAAAACAGGUGCAAAUCCUUCUGUUGGAAAAUGUGUUCAAGUUCAUGAAGGGAAGGGGAAGUUGAGGAUUGAAUGUAGAAAUAGUGGUUUUAGAAUUGUAAAAUUGUUUGGUAAAAUGCCAUUCAAUGCGGAUUACUAUUCACCAAAAACUCACCCACCAAAGCACAACUGAGGGAAUGCAAAAAAAUCUCAGAACAAGCAACUGAGGCCAUCAAACAACAAUAAAGAGGAUACAAAAUCUCAGCUUAAAACUGAAGCAAGAGGUCCUAAGCCUGUAAACUAUUCUAGUUUUCCUCACAGUGGUGGGAGGUUUGGAACAAAAGAGGCACAAUCAGUUUCCCAUGGAGCUACUGAUCAGUUUCAGAAAAUGAAGGCAGAGAAAGAUAGGGAUGCUGUUGCUGAGGUUUACAACAUGAUGGCUAAGGACUACCAUACAAAAGCCAAAAGCAAGCCUCCCAUUAACAACAAUGAGCAAUUUGAUGAGGAGCCUUAGCUGGUUUUUGGAUGCUCAGACUGAGUAGUUUGUUCUAUAUAUUUCUAACAAAAUAACCUAUAAAUAUCGCCUUCGUUAAUUUUGGUUGGAUAAACGGGGGUAUAUGUGUAAUAUUAAUAUUUAGUCUAGUAAUACAGUUCAAUAGUUCAUCCUAAACAUUCUAGUUUGAUGCCACUCUGUAAUAUGUAGUCCUUAAUCGCACUAUGAAGAACAAGAUCACAGGACAAUUUUGAUGGUGUUGUAAAGUUGGACUUUUAAGCUUUUCAAAUCAUUUGUUUUGUUUAAAUUUUGAGCUUAAGCAAAAUUAGUUCAGAAGUAACUGUUAAAAUCUC